GCCACCAUAACGGCGGCCACAAAUCUCCCUCACUUCUCUCUAUCUCACCUCCACACUCCUUAACCACUACCACUUUCAAAAACGGUUUGAACAAGGAGAAACCCUUUUGAGAUAGGAAAAAGCAGAAUGAAUUGUGGAUCAGAUCUAGCUGGGGAAAAUGGAUAAACAGUGGUAACAGUUGAAAUUGUGAGGGACAUGUGUUGUAAGAUCGUGAUUAAGAUUGUAGCCGGUGACGGAGGUGGUGGUGGCCGACGAGAAAGAAAGAGGGAGUGGUGGUGGUUAAGGAGUGUGGAGAGGUUGUGGUGGUGAGAUAGAUAGAAGUGAGAGAGAUCUGUUUGGAGAUGAGAAGAGAGUAGUUGUGAGAUGAAAUUCCUAAAAUGUCCCUUGCCACAUCAGCAGUGGUACAAAAGAGUGUACCAAAAGGGUGGUCUAUGUAUUUUUUUUCCCUAAAAUAUUGCAUCUAUUUUAUCAUUAUAACCUUUCUUGGACUAUCUUACAUUUUCUUAAGGCAAAUUCUAUGGUAC
This 524-nucleotide long non-coding RNA is filed under the name Medicago truncatula (barrel medic). RNAcentral describes it as "lncRNA gene13176". Lineage: Eukaryota; Viridiplantae; Streptophyta; Magnoliopsida; Fabales; Fabaceae. The record is from RNAcentral.